RNAcentral lists this long non-coding RNA (865 nucleotides) under Marmota monax (woodchuck). Lineage: Eukaryota; Metazoa; Chordata; Mammalia; Rodentia; Sciuridae. The record is from RNAcentral.
UCAGACAGACAUGCUGUGCCUUCUCCUAUCAGCAACACCUGAAUCUGUGAAGACUGAAGCCUUGCCCAGGUGGAGCGAGCCAGGCCUCUGGGGUCAGACCCUGCUUUCCCAAGUACAGGCACCUGGGGGGGAGGGUGCGGUGUCCUGUGCUGUAGAAGACCAGGGCACCAGACGUUUGCUCCCACUCAGUGCCCCGUGAGGGACAGGCAGAGAGGGACAGGCAGAGAAGGACCGGUGGGAUCCAGUGCUAAUCCUUCAGAGCCCUUCCCCCAUGCUGAUCAGGAUAGCCAGCCCCUGCUCCUACCUGUUGCUAAGUAACCGUUCCCAGGUUUGGCCCCUCCCCACAGGGGUGUUAAUCACACCCCUUCCCAAGGGAUCACCCCUCCCUGGCCCUCCACCCACUGGAUUCCCACUGUUGGCCAUCCCAGUGAGCCCUUCCUGGGCCUGGUCACCACAGGCAGGAAGGAGAGGAUGACGGGAGGAGAACAAGGGACUCGAAGGUCGUAAAAAGGCAGCACCCUGGCUUCGUGGAGCCCAGGACCCCGGGCAGUCUGUGUCACUCCUUUUUAAGUAAACCCUGCCUUACACGCUUGCCUUGGGGUGCUUCGUCCCUGGUAACGGGCGUAUCAGCUGGACUGAUGGACCAACUUUUAAAACUACGUGUAAAGUCAUCCUGGGAUAAGAGGUUAACCUGGGAGAUUAAUUUUAACAAGAAGCUUGUUUCAGAAGAAUAAAGGUCAAGGGCAUGCUGUGUAUCCCUCCGGUCCUGGGCUUUUCUUGUUUGGUAGGCUUCUGAUGGUGUCUUCUAUUUCAUUGUUUGAAAUUGGUCUGUUUCAAUUGUGUAUAUCUUCCUGAUUCAGUUUGG